UAUUACUAAUUUUAUCAAUAAUUUGAGCUCUUAUAUCUGGAUCUUUGAUAUUUUGUAAGGGCUCCAAAACUUUGUCAUUAUCAAUAACAUUAAGACUCAAUUCUUUAAAUUGAGAAUAGAUAUUAUAAAGAUCAUCUUCAUCAUUAUCCUUUUCACAUGCCAUCCCUUGCUGGCAAGGUGAACAUUCAUCUUCAGAAGUCAUAUAAUCUUCUUGUUGAAGAGCUUUAAGAUCUUCACUUGUUGAGGACCCUCUACCACUGC
This 261-nucleotide long non-coding RNA is filed under the name Solanum tuberosum (potato). Its description in RNAcentral is "long non-coding RNA (STUB_LNC009776)". Lineage: Eukaryota; Viridiplantae; Streptophyta; Magnoliopsida; Solanales; Solanaceae. The record is from RNAcentral.